Molecule: unclassified non-coding RNA, 355 nt
Filed under: soil metagenome
Description: partial contains 5.8S ribosomal RNA, internal transcribed spacer 2, and large subunit ribosomal RNA
Rfam family: 5.8S ribosomal RNA (bases 1-120)
Source: RNAcentral
GAUGAAGAACGUAGUGAAAUGCGAUAAGUAAUGCGAAUUGCAGAAUUCAGUGAAUCAUCGAAUCUUUGAACGCACAUUGCGCCCGCUAGUAUUCUGGCGGGCAUGCCUGUCUGAGCGUCAUUUCAACCCUCGCCCCCGGCUUUUGCUGGGAGCGGUGUUGGGGAUCGGCCGCCCGCCACUGGGAGGCCGGCCCCGAAAUAGAGUGGCGACCACGCCGUGUGCUCCUCUGCGUAGUAGUAAAUCACCUCGCAGGCGGACAGCGGUGCGGCCUGCCGUAAAACCCCCAACUCUUUCUGGUUGACCUCAGAUCAGGUAGGAAUACCCGCUGAACUUAAGCAUAUCAAUAAGCGGAGGA